AUUCAGUUCGCAACCAAAUUUAGCAUAAUCACCUUUCAUCUACCUCAAAUAUCCAUAAGAUGCUUUAUAACAGAAGGAUAUUAAUGCUUCACAUUCGUGCACUCUAGAAUAGCAAGUUAUAAGAACUUCACCCCAAUCCUUACCAACUAGCGAGAGAGUUAAACUUAGCUUUAGGGAGAAUGUCCGAAUAUGAUUCCCGCCGGAGUCAACGCCUCUCCUCUCUAACAAGCAUCCAUUGCACGCUCGCAGCUACCGGCCGGCCAAUCCGAGGACGAUCUAGCUGUGAUUUCUUCCAAAUCAGUGGUUCCCGGAAGAAAUCCCAAUCUCUACUUGGAAGAAAUUAUCUGAGCUGAAUACUGCGAUCGGAGCAGCAACGACGAGGCGAUGAUGGAGAUUUAGGAAUCAGGCACUUUCCUCCGCAGGGACGCAGGCUGAUUCAAUCCUUUACAUCGGCGGGCACCGGCGGGCUAACGCAGGGAGGCGGAGCGGCGAAGCGGCGGGCUGACGCAGGGAGGCUCGACGGCGAGCGGCGGGGUUCUGACUCCUCUAAAGCGGCGAGCGGCGGGGUUCUGACGCAGGGAA
Molecule: long non-coding RNA, 582 nt
Filed under: Salvia miltiorrhiza (redroot sage)
Lineage: Eukaryota; Viridiplantae; Streptophyta; Magnoliopsida; Lamiales; Lamiaceae
Description: long non-coding RNA (SMIL_LNC000415)
Source: RNAcentral